UCUUAAAUCAUCUUUCUCUUCUGCUUUAUUACAAUUUUAAGAAUUAUGCUUGGGUUAGCUUUUCUAAACCUUGAUGGUUUGAACAAUGAAUUUUGCUGAUAAUUUAUUACUAUAUUACAUAUAAGUUUGUCUGGUUCUUUGGACCGACACUGCAACCUUUGUCAACUCUGUCAUUUUAACUCUUGCGUUCCAAAUAUAGAUAAAUUACUUAAUCGAGUUAUUUCGAACUGGAAAAAUAGGUGCAUUUUGAAACAACAGGCCCUGAGAUAUGGGAGGAUACUCUUGGUAAAGUUGACAUCUUCGUAAUGGGAAUAGGGAGUGGUGGUACUGUUUCUGGUGUUGGACAGUACCUCAAAUCCCAAAAUCCUAAUGUUCAGGUAAUUAACUGCUAUGUCUUUCCUACCUUACUCUUUGUAAUAACCAUAACCUUUGUUCAUUGUGUUUCAUUUCAUUGCUGAUGAUUUCUUUUUUAAUGUUAGAUAUACGGAGUGGAGCCUGCUGAAAGUAAUGUAUUAAAUGGUGGCAAACCAGGUAAACUUGCUGUUAAUAUUAUUUCUACUAUUCUUGAAAUUUCUAAUUCUUUUAUCUUUUAUCUUUUAUCAACUCUGUAAACUGAUGAAGUAAACAAUUACCCCGGAAACGGUAUAUAGUAAAGAUAAUGACUUCAUUUAACAUAAGUCUUUGUCAUAGAAGUUGCAUUCUUUUCUUAUAUUAUUAAUCAAAACAGGUCCUCAUCAUAUUACUGGUAACGGAGUUGGGUUCAAGCCAGACAUAUUGGACAUGGAUGUAAUGGAGAAAGUUCUCGAGGUAAACAAAAACCCAUGUGUUCUUUUCCUAGGAGGAAUACAUUUUAGGAAAUGGGGAGGGAGGGGUGGCAGAAUAAGGAUCUAGCAUCUUUUGUUGAAUAUCUAGUUCUUCGAGGCUUAUGUUGGGAUAUAUCUUAUGGCAGGUUAGCAGUGAAGAUGCAGUAAAGAUGGCAAGGGAAUUGGCAUUGAAAGAGGGGCUUAUGGUAAUAACCUAAAAUCAUGUCUUGAUUCGCUUUUGUAGAGGCUUCUGUUUAUACAUCAUGAUAUCACAAUCUUGUUCAUGAUUUCACUUGAGAUGAACAGGGUUGGUUUGUCUUUACUACUGUCAGUAUCGGUAAUCUACUACAUGAUUCACUAUAACUCUUUUUUCUUUUUUUCAUUUAGUACUGUUUGCUAGCUUAAAGGAAAAGGAAAGAAUUUUCUUAGAAGCACUGUAAAUCGAUCUUAACGAGUGAUAAACCGGAAUUAUUUCUUUCAAACUAAUAUUGAAUUUUGUGGAACGCAGGUUGGAAUAUCAUCGGGGGCCAACACUGUUGCAGCACUCAGACUUGCAAGAAUGCCUGAGAACAAAGGCAAAUUGAUUGUGGUAAGCACUUUCUUACAAUCUCAUAUGAAGAGAAUACAUAAUUACCAGAAUUAUCUGUUAUAUAGUAUUGUUCUUUGUACAAUAUUCAUGUGAUCUUUACUACAACGUAAGCGUGCUUUGAAUAGCAAUUAUUCUAUUGUCUAGGCAAUUCUAAGUCGAUAAUCAAAGGCUUUAGCUUUGAGAGUAUAUGAUGAAAUUUUGAUACAAGUUCUCACCUAGUUUUCUUUUUUUUGGUUCCGAAAAAAAAAAUCAGACUGUUCAUCCAAGUUUUGGAGAGCGUUACUUGUCAUCGGUCCUGUUCCAAGAACUAAGGAAUGAAGCUGAAAACAUGCAGCCAGUUGCAGUCGACUAAAUGCCUUUUCAGGGGACAUGUUAGGAAGCUCCCUCGGGAAACAAAAGCCCUGUCUGUUAAUACCAAAUGUUUCCACCGAAACAUUGGUAUCCAUUGUUAUUAUGAAUCCGCUGUGCACCCAUUUGUUUUAGUUUCAAUGUUUAACUCUGUCUGAAAUGAAAUCAGUAAUAAUUGGAAUUUGCAUUGAAGCAGACUCUUUUAUCCAUGACUAAAUUCUAAAUAUUCAUUUUAAACAAAUCCAUAAGCAAACUAAAGACAUUGGACCCAAUCAUAAAUUACAAACUUCUCCAGGAAACAACGCUGUUGGUACGAAGACAUGAUAUCGUCUGAAUAUAACUUUUUAAGGAUAUUAUCAGUUGUGUCUUAUUAUCACUUUAAACCCCUUUUGACCUUCACAUAAUCUUCUAAAAACCAGAUCCAAAGUUUCUGUAUGAAUCGUCAAUGACUAAUAUCAGUAAACCAAUCCAUUAUUGUAGUCGAUCAAAAUCGCCAAAAACUAAUUCAAAUCCUUCGUUGUUAAGGAAAUGUGUCAUAUGGUAGUAGCAAUAAACCUUACAACGGUGAGGAACUUGAAGAACAUCCAAGAUAAUGGAUGGGUUAUGGAGACUGAAAUAUACCUUCACAUCACAGCCACUUAGAACUUUUCCUGGAUAAAAGAUGUUCAUAAAUUUGGCUGUUUCAAAGUCCCCCACUUUGUUUAGACUUUAGACCCAAGAAAAAGGGCCUCCGAAUGGACUUGCUUUCUUUUUAAGAAUGAAGCCAUGUUUUGACUGCUACAAGUGUCUCAACGAACAGUGCAAAAAAAAAAAAAGUCUUAUUAUUUGGAUUGGAUUGAUGAUCACUAUUUUAGAAAGAGUUUAGAAUUGUUUUUUUCUUUAAAUACAAAUGGUGACUAAAGUAUUAAGUUUUUAAAUAUGAUAAUUUGCAUUGCAAUCCACAUGUAUUUCUUGUUAAUUUUUUUAAAUUUUAUAAACUUAUAUAUAUUUUUUGAAUUUUGAUUGUUUUAAUUUUUGAUUUUUUUAAAUUUAAAAUUAUUUGUUGACAUUACAUAUAAAACAAAUAAUGUCAUGUUAAGUGUGAAGUACACUUGGAUUGCCACUUGCCAUGCUAGUUAGCACGACCGGGGGUGAAGUCAGAAAACUUUUUUGGGAGACCGAAAUCAAAUUGUAUAUUUUUACGAUAGUAAAAAUGCAAUUUCAUCCUUUUAAUAGCCUAUAUCUUUAUAGUUUUUAAAGGAUUAAAUCAAAUUUUUAUCAUUUUUGAGGAGCCAAAGUGUAAUUUUAUCAUUUCUAAUUUAAAAUUUUAUAAAUUAUAAAAAGAUCUAAAUAAAUUUUUUUUUAUUUUAGGGGGCCAAGGCCCUUGCCUGCACUCCUCGCUUUGCUACUAGGCACAACAAGAUCAUUAAAUAAUAAUAUUUUAAUCAAAAUUUUUGUUAAAAAAUGAUUUGACCAUUUUCUAAAUGCUAAUAGUCAAAUUUAGCUCAAAAAUUAAACUUUAAUGACAAAUUUUGCCACUAACAUUUACAUGUUUUGUCAAAAUAACCCUAAUUAUAUUUUUGAGUCUUUUUUUGGCCGUUAACCUUAGGUUUUUUUUUUCAAACUGCUUUUUCAAACAAAUUUAAUUAAAGUACCAUUAUAAAACUUAAUGUGGAUGAUGUGGAAUAUUUUUAAUGACAUGUAAUUUAUUACUUAGGUAACCCGAUAAGAUAAUUACAUGUGAAAAAUAAUAAAAUAAAUAAAUCAUACAUGAAAUUAAAAAAUAACUCUUAAUUUAAAGAAAAUAAACUUAAUUAUCUAAAAAAAGGUUUUAAAAUGAAUGCAUACAUUUGUUUACAAAGAUGUUUUAAAAAAGAUAAUUAAUAAAUCAAACCGAAAAUACUAAAUAUGUGUAUUAAUUUAAACUUUUUGUAGAUAAUUACGCUUAUUUUUUUAAAUUAAGAGUUUUUUUAACUUUAUAAAUUAUUUAUUUAUUUUUAUUAUUUUUCACAUGUAAUUAUUUUAUUGGGUUAUCUAAGUAAUAAAUCACAACUCAUUAAAUGUAUGAAAUUCCACGUCAUCCCGUUAACUUUUUUAACUGUACUUUCUCAAAUCUGUUAAAAGAACAAUUUGGAAAAAUUAAUAAAGGUUGAUGGUAAAAAAAUACUAAAAAUUAAAUUAAGGUCAUUUUAACAAAAUAUGUAAAUAUUAUUGGCCAAAUUUGUUAUUAAGCCAAAAAUUAAAAAUCAAUUUAACAAAAAUAUAAACGGAUUGAAUUUGACCUUAACAUUUUAGAAAAUCAUCACCAAUCCAAAUUGGUUCGCUUCGUUUUUUUUUUUUUUAUUUCACUAAUUUAUGUGUAAAAUAUUUAUUUUUAUAUUUAAAAAAUAUAGAAAUCAAAACAUAAUUGUAAAAUUCAAUUCACAUAAUAACGAUUGUUUUUUUUACGAACAGAAUUGCUUUUCAGUUUUCUUGAUAUUAUUCAUUGAUCUCUUCCUUUUAUAAUGAAUUAAUAAAUUUAAAGUGACUCGAAAACAUAAGCCGACCUUAGCUCAGUUGGUAGAGCGGAGGACUGUAGUUGUGAAAGCUGUUAUCCUUAGGUCGCUGGUUCGAAUCCGGCAGGUCGGAUUAUUUUCCUUCUUUUUACUUGUCAGUUCCUAUCCGAGAUCAAUUUAAUUCUCUCCAUUAUCAAUUUUAUCAAAUAAAUGAAGUCCGAAUUUUACUAGGUAAAGUUAGUUUUAAUUUUUCUACUAAAAAUUGUUUUAAAUAUUCAUGUAUUAUGUGGCUGAAAAAUUCAAUCCUGUAAUUUUCUUUCAACCACACAAUAGUAUAUACAUUUGGAGAUAACUGGAUUUUUUUAAUGGGCUGAAUUGGAUAAUAAAUUAAUUAAUUAGGUACAAAUUAUAAUGAUUAAAUAAAUUUAAAACAAUUUUUAAUAGAAAAUUAGAAUAAACUUUACAUAAUACUCAUAGUGGACAAGUUAAAAUCCUGAAAAUAAUAUAACACAUGAUAUAUAUUAUUAACAAAGCAAUCCAUCAAACACAAAAAUAGCGUCGCAUAACCUCAGUAUUCAGACAAACAUAGCAACUACUUAUUUACUUCAAUGGAUCAAUAUAUGAAUUCGGCUACGCAGUUCGUGGUGCAAACUUCACUUCCAACCCAAAAUGUGAAAGUUAUUCAUUAAGGAGUCUUUGAAAAGACUUAAAAACCUGAAAUGGUAAACAGGGCGCACCUCAUCAGUAUAACGAGCCGCAUCAGACUGUGUUUUACAGAAAUACAUCUGACGAAGCAUUUUUGUCAAGUGAUGCGCGAGUUUCGGGUGCUAAAUUUGACAAAAAGUAGUAAAAAUGAUUUUAAGGUGAUAAUUGAAGGGAAGAAAUACCUCGCAGCUCAGUUCUGCAUUUAGUGUAGCAGAGUUUCUUCAAAACUUCCAUUAAUGGCUGCUCUAAUGAGCUUCCUUACGAAAAGAUGUUUAACAUACAACGAGCUGAUGAUGACAAGGAGGCUGGUGUCCACCGAACCCAUCAUUGAUUCUCCUUCUUUUGCUCAAAGACUUGGAGAUCUUCCUACAGAUCUUCUUGAUACUAAAAUUAAGAGCGAAGUUUACCAGGUAGUCUCAUUCACAAUUGUUUGCAAUUAAUUAUUUUUGUUUUUUCCCCCUUCCUUUUGGUUUUUGACCUUUUCAAGGUUGUUUUUUCAUUAAAGAUUAGCGUAUUCCCAAUAUCCCAUGAUCUGAGAAGGUUGUUGGAUGCUUAAUCAUUUUUAAUUUCUUUUUAUGCAAUCUUCUUCUCUUUUGGGUUUUCCCAUUUGUUUUGUUCUAAACAAUUCUUAAAAAUGGAUUUUUUUUUUCUUUUUAAACAGAUCGUUUAGCAAGUUUGUCGUGUAGAACAUAGUUACUUCACUGAAUUGCCUUUUAAAGUUUAAACAAUUCCUAUAUCUGUUGGUUUUGCUUUGCAUUCUAAAUAUUUAUUUACUUGAAGUAGUGAAUUAGUAGCUCUGCUAAUAAAAUUCUGUCUUAUUUCCUUUAAAAAUGUAAAAAAUCCAAGUACCAUCAUCUUCUUUUUUUUUUCAUUUCAAAGUGAAACAUAAUGUAAAAAGUGCAAGGAUUAUCUUGGUGAAGACAUUCAAUGAAGUGAGCAUGCAUGGGGUAAAUUGGAAGUUCAAGGAUGGCUAAGCUGUGAUUAACAGUAAAAAGUCUGUAUAAUCUGCUAAUUAAUUAGGCUUUGCAAAAAAGAAAUAAAACUAAAAGAAAAUGAUAAGAUGUUCAGUGACGAUUAUCUUAAGAUUCUGCCAAAAAUCGGUAUGUGGAUGGUCAACACCAGAGCAUGCUUAAUUCAUAAGAGGAAUAGUCGUCUCCCUGUUUAUCUCUUAAAAAUUUGAAAUUCUUGUUUAAAUGAAGUUCAUCCUUUAUAUGAGAAUUGGUUCUUACAUGUUUCAGUUAAUUGGAAGAACACCUCUUGUUUUUCUUAAUAAAGUAACUGAAGGCUGUGGUGCAUACAUAGCUGUGAAGCAGGAGAUGAUGAUGCCCACUGCUAGCAUUAAAGACAGGGACUAGUUGCUUCCGAGCCCUUCAUGGCAUUUGGAACUUUAUGAUUUAGUAUUAGUUUGAAGUUUUAGAGAAGUAGAGUUUGUGAUACAAGGCCAAAUCGAAACUAAUACACACUUCUAUAUCAACAGACCAGCAUUCUCCAUGAUUACCGAUGCAGAAAAGAAAAACUUAAUUUCUCCCGGAAAGGUUUGGCUUUUGCCGAAGGGCAUCAUUAAAUUGUUGAUGGAAACUGUGAAUUCCUAUAUGAUUUGAACUUUGAUGUUGAGUGGCUUUAAUUUCUACCCCCUAAUACAUUUUUCAACUUUAUGUUAGACAACUCUGAUAGAGCCGACAUCAGGUAACAUGGGGAUAAGUAUGGCAUUCAUGGCAGCCACGAAAGGUUAUAAGAUGGUUCUAACUAUGCCUUCUUACACAAGCUUGGAGAGAAGAGUCACCAUGAGGGCAUUUGGAGCUGGUUUGGUUCUCACAGAUCCCACGAAAGGGAUGGAAGGAACUGUGAAGAAGGCUAAUGAACUUUUGGAGUCCACACCGAAUGCUUUCAUGUUGCAACAAUUCUCAAAUCCUGCCAACACUCAGGUACACUCUUAUAUCAUAUUUUAAUUCUGCUUCACUAAGAAUUAUACUUGGGUUAGCUUUUCUAAACCAUAUGCUGAUAAUUACUAGAUAUAAGUUUGUCUAGUUCUUUGGACUGACACUGCAACCUUGCUCAACUCUGUGUUUAACUCUUGCUUUCCAAAUAUAGAUAAAUUACUAAAUCGAGUUAUUUCGAACUGGAAAAAUAGGCGCAUUUUGAAACAACAGGCCCUGAGAUAUGGGAAGAUACUCUUGGUAAAGUUGACAUCUUUGUAAUGGGAAUAGGGAGUGGUGGUACUGUUUCUGGUGUCGGACAGUACCUCAAAUCCCAAAAUCCUAAUGUU
RNAcentral lists this long non-coding RNA (7185 nucleotides) under Gossypium barbadense (sea-island cotton). RNAcentral's name for it is "long non-coding RNA (GBAR_LNC009937)". The stretch from base 4261 to 4347 matches the Rfam family "tRNA". The record is from RNAcentral. Lineage: Eukaryota; Viridiplantae; Streptophyta; Magnoliopsida; Malvales; Malvaceae.